GCAGGAGAUGGCACAGGAGACAUCACACAGCUGCAAAGAAAAAAGGUAUCAAUACAUUUGAAAUAUCAAAAUAUAUGAAGUAUCUAAGGGAAUUCUCUGACAUCUACUGAGAUUCCACUUGCAAAUGUCUGAUCUCAGAUUGAAAGCAGUGCAGGAAAGAUAACUGGAGAAGAAUUUAAAGGACGCUUAAGUUGUGCAUUCCGGAUACCUGCUCUGCCUGUGAUUGAGUUACCAACCCACAUGUCUGAACAGAACUACACGGACCACUUACUUUAUAAAAAUGGUAAGAAAAUGAUAAGUAGCACUAAAAGGCACGACAGCAGGGAUGCUUA
This 332-nucleotide long non-coding RNA is filed under the name Numida meleagris (helmeted guineafowl). Its description in RNAcentral is "lncRNA (ENSNMEG00000021399.1)". The record is from RNAcentral. Lineage: Eukaryota; Metazoa; Chordata; Aves; Galliformes; Numididae.